AAAUUGCAAUAGAAUUUAUCGGUCUUUUAACUACAUACUCUUUAUGCAUAUGUUCACACAAAUUAAUGCACGUGUGCUUAUAAGAUGAUGUAAAUGUUGCUGAAGUUGUUGCCCAAGUUGCUGAUUCUCAUCUGAACUAUAGAACUAUCCUUGCUGAUAAUAUGGCCCUUUCAGCUAAAAAGUGGAGUUGCCAGGUUCUUCAGAUUUUAAGAGAAGUAAGCUAAA
This 225-nucleotide unclassified non-coding RNA is filed under the name Hevea brasiliensis (rubber tree). The record is from RNAcentral. Lineage: Eukaryota; Viridiplantae; Streptophyta; Magnoliopsida; Malpighiales; Euphorbiaceae.